ACAAACUUGGGGAUGCUAUGUUUGAUGAAGAUACUAUUUUUAGUAACCCAAGUUUUGAUGACGAAAUUUACUAUGAUGAAAUCAUGCCUUUUUGGGGACCGUCUUUUCUUGGAAUUUAAUUUCCCUUUCAAAUGGCCCUUAAGUAUACCAGCCCCAGGAAUACUAUUAGCUGGCACACCUUUCCUUGAUACAAAUGUCCAAGCAAAAUAGAAAUUGAGGUACAAGACCAAGGUGGUCUAAUGAGUACAUCAAAAGGGUUUCUAGUGGUUGAUGGCGGAAGCGUUACACGGAUCUCCAACUCCUCUGGGACUCCAUUUCCCACAGGAACAGGUGACUGGGUAAAUUCCUAUCUCGCGUGACUGAUGUCCUCGACGCCUAUGCUCCAAGCUUAUCGUCAACCAUCUCCUCUCCAAGCUUGCAAUCUGGCCAAGACAAUAGCCAGGGACAAGUCAGUGAGUACUUUGAAUGUACUCGCAAACAUCAAGAAACAAACAUAUAAUUUGCAGUGUUAAUUAUACACUCAUAAUGAUGCCAUAAUACUGCUUCAACCAAAAAUACUACUCAAGCAUUAGUAGUGAAAUUUUAAUCAUAUUGAAAUUCAUUAAGCAAUCAAUAACGGUAUUAAUAUCAGAUGCAACAUAAAACAUGCCACAGUCGGGUGUCUCAGCGACACCACAUAAGGGGCUUAUAUGGAAUAAUAACCAUGCCACAGUCGGGUGUCUCAGCGACACCACAUAAAGGGCUUAUAUGAAAUGAUAGACAGGCCAUAGUCGGGAGUCUCAGCGACACCACCUAAAGGGCUUCUAUGGAAUAAGAAACAUGCCACAGUCGGGUGUCUCCACGACACCACAUAAAGGGAUUAUAUGAAAUGAUAGAUAGGCCACAGUCGGGCGUCUCAGCGACACCACAUAAAGGGCUUGUAUGAAGUAAUAAAUAAUAUCCAGGAGGCAGAACUGUCCCAGGGAUAUUCAACCACCAAAAUCAUAAGGGUUAGUCCACAGAAAAUAAUAUUUAUAAUCAUCCACCAUAUUUCCCGAUUUGUCUCAUACUCCUUUAACUACCUCCGAAGACCGACACUUAGACCGACACUUGACUAGUUAACCAACAUCGUUGACCAUGGACACGGCUACUCGAAUAGUUUUGACUCUGAAGAGGGUGUACUCUUUACCCAUAGUUCACGCUUUUCAAUAGUCAUCAUGACUAAUCCCGCGUACAACAAUUUAGAAGUGGACACUCAGAACCAGCACAUACCCAUUUUGCCUCCGCGAAGCCCGGCUUCACCCGGACUACGUUGCCAAGGUAAAACCAUAAGACGGGGAGGCUCCGACCUCGACUAGCAUGGGAUCAAAAUAUUUAUACCGCGUGCUCACGGUGAGUGCCCUCCCUUCCGGUCCCAAACCAGAAACACCCAUGCCCCCUUACCGUAUGACUGGAUUUAUACCACAGCCGUGGAUACCUUCAUCCCGUCCCCUCUACUCGUGUGUGACUGAUAAUAGGUCUGCAACUGACUAUACCGAACCCAUUAUCCAGGAAGCUAUGGUAGCACGCAAAUAAGGAGACAUAAUGACAAGACUCGAUCUAUAGUCGACUUAGGAGGUUUAAGUGUUACCUGCAUGAUUAGCACCCACUAUAUGCAGACAGAGUCACUACCCACCUAACAUACCUUCUUGACCACUCUCGUCCACGAGAUUUCAAUUCCCACGGUUGUGUCUCCACAAGACACCGACUCUCACCAAAUCGCGUCCGUAGGCAUGUAUGGAAGGAAAGAGUGACCACUUCCCAUGCACCACAGUCAUAGCAAUCCUUACUUUCAAUAUCAUGAAACCACAUGCAUGAUUUGCCACAUGAAAUAACACCACAAACGUAACAUAAACCUAUGUUACUUUCACCAAGCAAACACACAUAACCAGGUUUAAAGUAGGUUCAGGAUGCUUGUCUUCCAAGUGUAGAGAGGUGGGGUUCACCACAAAACUUUUGCAAGUUUUAACUCCUCUCCUAAAAGCUCAGGCGAAGGCACUUCCACUUAGCGCGGGCUCUGGCUGGGGCAGGGACAAUGACACGCGGGGCCCGCGUGCAGGUUUGACUAUGGUCUCCUUCUUCCUCCUCUGGACGAAGGAGGGAGGGACUCUGGCGAGGCUCACCGGUGACAGGAUCCUUCAUUCGAGAAACUGAGAGCACCGACGUGCUCCGGGUACACGGCGCAUCCAUUUCACGGUCUUGGGGCUGCGGCAGAGGUCGAGGGCGAGUGGCUCUUCCUCCAUGGCGGAGGGAGCUUCGGCUCCGACGAGGCGCAAGCUAGGAGGAGUCCUAGGUGCACGACGAGGGGUGCGGCAGCUCCAUGGUGUCCAGGGGGUUCAAGUGGUAGGCUCAGGCACGGAGACGACACUCUAACAAGACCGAAUCGACCCGAGGCGCUGCGGUGGCCGAAUGUCACCGGAGUCGGGAACGAAGGGGCCUCGGUCUCAAAUUAGAGCUAGAGGGGCUGGUUAUGGCUACCAGGGAGGACUUGGCAUGCUCUGAGGCUGCCGGGGUACUAUUUAUAGCCUCGGAGUGUCGGUUCCAUGGAAGGCAUGGAUGAGAUCGCCGAGGACAACUACUGGCGAGGGCACAGGGGCAGCUCGAUGUAGCCACGGGGCGGGGAAGCAGCGGCUCGUCGCAGGGAGGUAGUCCUCGGAGGAGGGCUUGGACGGCACUGCAUCGCUGCACUGCUAUUGCUGCUUGACGACGGCCAGCGUGGUUGCGGCAUCGCAGGGGCGGCAGGGGCAAAAGUGGUGCACGAGGAGCUCGUGCGAGUGGGCCCACGUGCUGAGGUUGCUUCGGAUAGCGAGGGGGCGAUAGGGUUGCGACGCGGCGGCUUGGGUCUACUAGCUGCAAUCCGCGCGCUCUAGAGCGCGCUCUGGCAUGCCUGCCAGGUGCUCGACGAAUUGCCACGGCUAUCUAGGGGCUUGUGUUGGUGGUGAAAAGCUCCAGAUUGCCAGAGGCUCUACUAGGGGUCUGCUAGACAUGCUGGUUCACUCCUGGGUGCAACUUCACCACACAAACAAAGUUUCAUGUCAAUUCUGGUUAGGGACACCAGGUGUUUGAUAGAAUGCCAAGGGAAUCUAGGGGCACUUGCUAGCCACAAUAAUUACCAGAUAUAAGCCUCAUUGGAUGGCACAAAGAUGGCAAGGUCAUAAUUACCAACUCAACAACUUUCCAAUGCAGCUAUAGCAAAAAUUCAUUUCUGGACAGAAACAAGAUGAUGAUGCAACAUGGGUCAAAACAAUUCCAGUGGAGUUGAAAUUUGAUACUUAAGGGUUUUAUAGGGUGGACUACAAGCACAAAAAGUUUCAAGAGCAUUGGGGAAGGAAAAAGUGGGGUUGCAGUACAAAAUGCCAAUCUGGUCCAGAAUAGAAAAACAAGAAGUGGUGCUCAAAUAUUUCAAAAGGCCAAUAUAUAUUUUUGCAAAAAACUCAUUCAUAUAAACAUCUUGACCUCGACAUAUUUUUACAAAAUUAUUAAGGACUUUAAUGAAGAGGUUGCAGUGCAAAGCACCUACCUGGACCAGAACAGAAAAUAUAUCAAUGAGCAAUAUUUUACCAAAAUACUCACCUCGGUUUUUGCAUAAAACUCAUUUGUAUGAACCCCUUGGCUACCACAAAUUUUGGUAGAAUUUUUGGAGACUUUAUAUAGGGGGUUGUAGUACAAAUCUAUAAUUGGACCAGAAAGUAAAGUUAAUUAAUUUGUUUAAUCCUACCAAAACACUUGGCUAUAUUAUAAUAUAAAAAUUGAUCCAGAAACAUAGUAGGUAAUUGCCAAGCUUAUUGUGGAAUUUUUAGAACAGGUUAACAGGUGGUUGCAGUUCAAAAGUGGACCCUUAGGAAAAUAAAAACCUGUUUUGAAUAAAUAGAAUUGGAAGAUAAUAUUUAUAGAGAAACAUUCUCUGCAAUAUUCAGUGGAGGGAAAAUAUUUGAGUCAACACUUAAGUCACAUAAAAGUUUUCAAAAAGCGCCAGCUCAUAAAAGAGUUAUUCACAAAACCAAGAAUAAGAGAGGUUUUGAAAUCAACAGAAAACCGAGAAAUAAAAUUUAAAACAAUUCAGGCCAAAUUUAUUAAAUAAAAAUAUUGGCAAAAUUUUGGGGUGUUACAGACUCCUAUCUAUGUUGAUUACUGUGAUGACAUUUAUGCUAUAAAGAAUUAGGAUAACCAUGAAACUGUUCAUCAUGAUUUUAAUUUUCACAUAGAUUAUAUCAAUCAAGUAUGUGAUUUUAAUUUUGUUGAGUUUGCUCCCACUACUAUGAAUGAUAAGAAUUUUGCUUGUGCGGAAAGUAAUAAAAAAAUUAUGAUUAUGCAUCAUGAAAAGGAUGCUUUAUGUGAUAGUUAUAUUGUUUAAUUCCCUCAUAAUGCUACUGAAAAUUAUUAUGAGGGAGGAACAUAUGCUAGUAGGAAUUGCAAUAAUAUCAAGGUUCCUACCAAUACGUUCAAAGUUUUGAAGUUAUGCUUGUUUUUCCUUCCUAUGCGAAUUGAUUCUUGCUCCCAUAAAUUGUUUUCUCACAAAAUCCCUAUCCAUAAGAAGUGAGUUAGACUUGAAUGUGCUUGCCAUAUGAUUCAUUAUGCUGCCAUUGUGUUUCAAAACAUUGCUUUUAUGUGAGCAUCAUUGAAAUCAUCAUGCCUAGCUAAAAGUCAUUAAAGAAAAGCGCUUGUUGGGAGACAACCCAAUAUUUAUCCUUUAUGUUUUUGUGUGUUAACAUGAUUAAGAUAUUGUGGUAAUCAUGUUUUAUAGCUUUUAUUUCAAUAAAGUGCCAAGUAAGGCCUCCGGAUAGUGUGGAUACUUGCUUGUUUGAUUUUGUGCAAAAAUAGAAACUUUUACGUCUAGUGCAGAAUUUCUAUGAUUUUACUGGAACGUCAAAAUAUUAUGUAAUUUUUACAAAGUUUUCACCUGCAAAUGCUCUAAAUUUUCCGAAUUUUCCGAAUUUUUAGAGUCACGCAAGUAUGGUGUUCAUUCAGAUCUUCUAAGACUGUUCUCUUUUUCAUAGAUUAUGUUUUGCAUGCAUAGUUUUCUUGUUUUAGUGUUUCCAUAUCUUAUAUUUAGUGAUGCAAAUUAUGGUAAUUAUACAAUACAGUAGGUAUUACGUUAGAACAAUUAUGAAUCUUGUCUUGACAGUAUCUAAGUGAAUGAUCUAUCUUUAUUACACUAACCCAUCCCACGAAGUUCCGUUAAGUUUUGUGUGAUUCAAGUUUUCAAGUUUUGGGUAAGAUACCGAUAUGAGGUGAAUAAGGAGCACGUGGAACCUAAGCUUGGGGAUUCCCAAGGCACCCCAAGUCAAUAUACAAGGAAGACUCAAACGUCUAAACUUGUGGAUGCCGUGGAAGGCAUCCCCUCUUUCGCCUCCAACAUUAUCGGUAUACGUUGGUUGGACCUAUUUUUUAUUCAUCACAUAAUAUUUGUUUUGCUUGGAGGGUCAUUUUUUUGGUGUUUUAUGUUAGAUGUUAUUUUUAAUCUUGUUUGUAAAUAAACAUUUCCAGGAACUGCCUUUAGAAUGCUUUAAUUGCAUAUGUAAUGGGUGUUGUACAAAACUAGAAACUUUUCUUCUAGUAUUUGAAUUAUCAGAUUCUACUGGAACAUGGAAAGUUUUGGAAAUUUAUACUCAGUACUUCCAUAGAACUUAUUUACCAUGUCUUAAAUUUCCUGAAUUCUUUGAUCUACAAAGGCACAUUUUUGAAUUAAUUGCGACAGAGUGCUCUGUUUGGACAAGUUGUUAUCAUAGUUUUGUUAUCUACUUAUCCUAGAGUUUCCAUGUCUUAUAUUGCUAGAUAUAAACUGUGGAAAUGAUAGUAUACAAUACCUAAUGUUUGAAAAUUAUUAUGCAACUUGCCUUGGAAGUAAAUGACGUGUUGAUUUACAUUUAUGUUGACUAACCUAUCUCAGGAGUUCUUUUCAAGAUUUGUGUGGAUGAAGUUUUUGAGACUUAGGUGAAACCGGGAUAUGAGAGGAUUGGACGAGAUAUAAAAGCGCAAUAUUAGGGAUGCCCAAGGCACCCCAAGUAAAUAUUUCAAGAAGUCUCAAAGCAUCUAAGCUUGGGGAUGCUACGCAUCCGACUUCUAUUAGGCAACAAAUAUCGUUUAGCCUAUGUUGAGCCUAAAUUUUUAUUUGUCCAAAUGAUAUGUGCUAUUAUUGGAUUAUAUUUUUAUUUUAUUUACUAUUUGAACAAAAUAGUCAUAUCUGAAAAUCGUUAUUGAGAGAGAGUCCUCACAUAGCGACUUAAUUGUUUGACUACUCAUUGAUCUUCACUUAUAUAUUUUGAGAGUAGUUUGAUUGUUUGCUCUUGUGCUUCACUUAUAUCCUAAGAGUAAAUUGUGAAUGAAUGACAUAUUAUAAAUAUGAAAUUCUCAAUGUACUUCAUGUGUUGUUGUAGUAUCACAUUUGGUUUAGAAAGUAAAAUUUAUUGAAGUUUGACAAUCAUUGUAUUGGCCAUAUGAGCAAUUCAUGAAUGAUUAGUAUAAGAAAGGGAACUUUUACAUACAAAUAUAUUAUCUUGGACAUAUUUUAUGAUUGUGAAUACCAUUAAUUAUUUUCAAACUUGAUCAAUAGUUGACGUUAGACAAGGAAGACAACGUAAUGGUUAUGUUUGGGUAUAUUUGCAUAGAAGUUAUAUUGUUUUGGAUCCUCCAACAUGUGGUGCUUGUUUAGAACAUUUUGCUAGGCAAAACUUUGUACUAAGUAGAGAUACUACUUGUGCAUCCAAAUCCUUGAGCCAAGUUUCUUCCAAAAGAGUCCACCAUACCUACCUAUAUAUGGUAUUUCACUGCCAUUUCCAAUAAAUUGGCAUGUGCCACCUCUAAACAUUCAAAUAAGCAACUGUCUUGUGUGGCCUUACCACUCAUGGAGCGACGGGGCAAUUAUUAUCUUCCAUCGUAAGCGAGUUAUUCUCAAGAUGAAUGUGUAUUCACUUGUCAUUGCACGAGAGAAGCUGAUAGAACUAACCCGUACUAACGUUGUUUGUAGUAGAAUUACCAUGGUGUGGUUUUUGUGCAGAAAAUGGAAGUUCUCGGAAUCUCCCAAAACUUUUUUUUUCUAGAGGAAAUAAUGGAGCGAAGAACCACCAGAGGGGAGUGUAACAGCCCGAGACCGACGCUCCAAAAUAUUCCCCUUUUAUUCCAUUGCCGUCGUUUGAUUAGAUUGUAUGUCACAUUUAUCUUUGCAUCAUGCGCAUCCUAUGCAUUGCCUCGGCACUCUAUUGCCGCCAAUUUUCAAAAUUUGCAUCCGUUAUUAGUUGCUAGUUCUCUCCAUUAUUGCCGUUGAUCGUUUUGAGACCAACUACACAUGCACGCGCCCGCAACAUCAAUAAAUAUUGCGUUUAAAAGUGCAUAUAAAACAUUUUAGGAUUGGGUUGAAACUUGGCGUGCUGUCUUAUUUUAUUGUAUAUAGGCCUCCUGUCAAAUUUCGUUGCAAUCGGAGUUCGUUUGACACCUGAACUGUUAAACCUAUAGCGGCACUAUAGCCGGUCCAACGUCGGACAUUUUCGGUGCUUUAAACUUUGUCGCCGGUUGCUCGGUCCAAAUAUGUAGAUUGCUUUUUUCCAAUUCCUUGCAGUUUUAAGUCAGUUUCAAAAAUGGCUAAAAACAUUAUUUGGCCUUAGUUUUUACAAACUUUAUCGAAAUGGGGAAAAUAAUACAUCGUUCAAAAGCUACAGAAAAUACGAAACCUUUUCACGUAGAUGGUUUUCUCUGAUUCCUAGCCAUUUUCAAGCAAUCUAUAAAACAUCGUGUUUUUGGGUUCUGCCUUUAUCACGAAACACAUUCUUUGAAAAUGCGCCAUAUAAAGAACUCGACAGAACUCGACCUUUUCGCCAUGUCCACUUGAACUUCACUCUGUUUUUCACGUGUUGUUGUUUUGUUCGUAACUCUCCAUCCACUCACGAGGUUUAAAAGAUUUUCAUAUAACAUUCAUGUAGUGUAGUAUUUGACCUUCUCGUUGUUUUCACGCUGACCUUCUGUCACGUAUUUUCGUUUGUAGUUUCUCACCCAUUUGUCGGUGUUACACAAAUUAUAUUCCAUUUGUACAAACUUCUCUCACAAUAAAAAAUUUAACCUUCUCCGACCGCGCACUUAAACUUAUAUCAAAAAUAAAAAAUUGGACCUUUCAUUUUUAUUCACCAUCUUCAUGUUUAUUAUGCAGAAGUAAAUAAAACGGGAACCUCCAUUACAAUAAUUUUUGAACUUCCUAAACCGACCACCUAAACUUCUAGCAAAACUCUUUUUAAACUUUGCCUUUAUAUUCUUUUUUCUUAUGUGAAACACACUUUAUGUAGUAGUUGAACCACUAGUUGUUUUCAGUAUGAACUUCUAAAACACUUUUGAAAUAACCAUUAGAAUCCAUCAAAAAGGCACAACUUUGUGUGCCGAGAAGUUUUUCUAACUCUUGGGGGUUUAGAAGUUUUUAGUAGGCCCUUUAUUUUAGUUGAACUGCUGUGUAAUUUAAAUUCAAAAUUCUACUCUAUUUUUAUAAACACGGAAUCAGGUUUACUUUUAUAGAUUACCUUGAACUACUCUAUUUUCUAAAAUUGACCUUCUUCUUUUUUUAGAACCAUGAAAAUAUGUUUUGUCAGAAAACAUUGAACUCCUCUCUUUUUAAAACCCAAACUUCUUGAUUUUUAAAUUAUUUUUAAACAAGAAAAUUAUCAUUUUUUAUAAACGUCGAACUUUUUAUGUAUACUUGAACUCCUUCGUUAUUUUCUUUUGGACUGCUCUGUUAUAUCAAUUUGACCUUCUCAAUUUAGAAAUGCCAAAACAACAUUGAAUUUGAAAAAAAAAACUUCGCGAGCUUUAUUCUGAUUGGUAGGUCUCUUCUACCUUUUACUGCCUUGCCUUCAAUAUUUGAACUUCACGCAUUCAUUGUUUUAUUUUCACACAAAAUGGAUGCAAAAUAAAAGAGUGUACGUAAGUUUGAUCCAUCUCCAAAAAAAAAUCUCUAGCUCUUAUAUAUCAUAGUCUUUUGUAGGAAUAUCAAAAAAAUGUACACAACACGAAAUCAUAUGUGAUGAAACAAAGUUUGGUCUAGUAUUUUUGUUUUGCAUCUGACAUAACAUCACGUUCACGCCAACACUACACAUUUUAUUACUUACACACUUUGAUUGCUUUCCGCUUCUCUCUUUUAAAUUUGAACUUCAUAGGUUUUUGUUGUGUUUGGCUCUUUAUUUUUUGAUACCGCAAUGCGUGUGUUUUGCCAUCAGCAAACUUUUUGAACUAUCCGCGAGAGGGAACAUGGACUUCACAUCCACAUUUUUUUUUGUUUUCAAGAAAUGCUUGCUUUUUUGCUUUUAAUUUUGAACUUCUAUGCUCUAUUUUCUGCGUAUCACGGCAAGGGGCAUCAGAAGUACAAAAAAUGUUGCUCAUUCACUGAAAUCAAUGCCAGUGUUUUAGUCUCAUACUUCAGACCUUUGGAGUCUAAACAGACUUCUUGCUGCAAUUUAACUCAUGGACAAUCAUUAGAUAUGUGAUCCCACGUCUUAUUUUUGUUAUCAUAUCUAAACUUUAGAUUUGGUACAUUUCCAUUUUGUUUGACAAGCUGUACGCUAUUGACAACAGGACCACAGUUAAGACAAUAAUAGCAGUUGGUCAAGAAGAGAGAGUGGAGCGGAAGUAGCUCAUGACAGAACUAGAAGCAACAGUCUCAUGAAUUAGAAGAGAAGCAGUAACAAAAUAAUGUGUGUGUGAGAUCGAGGUAAUGCAGCGCAUGAGAUUUAGGGCAAGUGGUGAUAAGAGGGAGGGGAGGAGGUUAUCCAAGGGAAACUAGGGUGGAGUCGUGGCGGAGAUCCAUGUCUGAGUGGGUUUUUGGCAGAAAAGUAGUGCACGGCUAGGAGUAACGUCUUUGAACAGACUGUUGGAGUUAAUCCCGACAUGAAUCCGUGUAUGUGUGGUGUGCGUAUAGGAUUCCUGUACUUACACAUAUCCUAAUAGGACUAGAACUAGAAAACCAUAGGAUUCAUGUACUUACACAUAUCCUAAUAGGACUAGAACUAGCAAACCGAAUAGUAUUGGUCUGUCUAGCAAGAUCUAUUUAUAUGUGUGUAAACCAGCCCUGUAAAACACACCGAACCGUGAGGAAGCAACAAACUCAAGGCUCGAUACGAGCCUUUGGCAAUCAGCCAAGCGUUUCGUGUGCGUUCGUGUGGUACCGGCCGGCUGGCCGCUGUGUGCAUACGAUGAGAUACUAGUUGAUCAAGCGAAUCGAUUAGUUGGAGUUGGCUAAGCUACACUAGUACAUGGUAGCUUCCAACGUAUACAUCUCGGCGUAAGAGAACUUCGACGGGAUCGUCUUAGCUUCGCUUCGUCAUCGUUCGUCGUCAGUUGUGACGUGUCGUUAGAAAGUACUCGGCGACACGGUCUGGGCCAACAAUUGGUAUCAAGAGCAAGGUUGAUCUUCUAAUAAUGGAAGAUCAUGUCGGACGACAAGAAGGACAAGCAGCUAACAGGGUACAAUGGUGCGGCUCAUGUAUUUGCUGCUUCGACGAGGUUGUCAUACCCACGAUUUGAUCAUGAGAACUUCGGGGUCUAGAAGGCCCUGAUGGAGUGCGGUCUCCGCGCCAACGUGUUGUGGGAUGCAGUCGAUCCAGGAGACGAGGCUUUCAAGGAGGGAGCUGAGCAUCGGAAGGAUCGGCAGGCGGCGUUGGCGAUUUAUUCGGUGAUGCCGAUGGAUGUCCUUCAACACGUGAUCGUCAAAGAAACGACGAAGGAGGUGUGGGAUACCUUGGAGCUCAUGUUCGAGGGACACGGCCGCGUCAAGCAAGACAAUCCCCAAACUCUCUUAAGGAACUAUGAGACUUUAGUCAUGGGCGACAAUGAGUCUGUGGACGCGUUUGCUUCCUGGGUAGCUACUCUCGUUAAUCGGAUCCGCGCACUUGGAGAGAAUCUAACAGAGGCCUCGAUUGUCCGUUGGUUCUUCCGUGCGGCUCCUCCCCGGUACCUGCAAAUUGUCACGGUGAUCGAGCAGUGCGUCGAUCUCGCGACUCUCUCCAUUGAUGAUCUCGUCGGACGCUACAGGCUCACGACGAGCACAUGCGAUACAGUCUCGAGGACGGGAGGAACGAUGAGCUUGUCAUGCUCACGCAGGCUCAGUGAAAGGCUUCGGACUCAAGGAGAGAAGGUGAGGGCUCUAGCAGUUACGCUCGCCAAGCACGUGUGCCAAACGAACAAAGUCAGAUGGACGCUAGUGAUGGCGUUCCGAAGAAGAAGUUCGACAAGCGCAAGAUCAAGUGUCGCAAUUGUGGCAUCAUGGGACACAUCAAGUCGGAGUGCAAGAAUCCCCCAAAGGGGAAGGCGCUCAUGGUCCAGUACAGAGAUGAAGGUGACAUGAUGUUGAUGUGUGAACUCGUGGACGAGGAGUGUCCAGUUCUUCAACUGUCCAGUUCUUCAAGUGUGAACUCCAUGAAGAAAAAGUUUGCUCUCAAAAUCAUGGUUUGGAAACCCGUAUCGAUGCUACGGAUGCGGAGGGUGACUCUGAAACUUACACCAAUGCUACGGGUGUAAGUGCUAUCUUUGCUGGAGCGAAGGAAGCGCUCAUUGCAUGCGCUCGGGCGUGGAGAAGCGCCCUUGUUACAAACAUGAGGGGUGAUUUCAAGACUUGUGUCGAUGCAAAAAUGGAUUGCCCGUCAGCCAGCCAAUAAAGUAGAGCAGGAAUUAAAGCAGACACACGGAAUUAAAGCAGACACACGGAUGCGUAGAAAUAAACACAAGUUCCGCCAAUACUGAAGAAAUCAAGAGAUCGUGACAAUGCGCGGGAAUGAAAAACACAAACCUGAAUUUAAUCCAUUUUCUCUCCCUAGGCGUCGCCAUCCGCCGCGGUCUUAUCGGUGAGUCGACAGGACGGGUCUUUUCAUGAGAAGGGGGCGGGAGACAGAGUACGCGCGCGUCCGUCACUUCUCGCGUCGGGCGUGGCGUGUCCCGCGAGGCCUCCCCUAUGCCUCCAGUGGUAGCCAUCUGGACACGAUCCGUGGCAUGGGACGGUGGUUGCGCACGGCCAGCUGUAGAGCAUGGCCUCCUGCAUCUGAAGUAAGAUAGCUGCCCCCCCCACACCUUGCAGGAUAGCAUCCAAUCCGUACGUGGGCCUGUGGUCGCCGGCGGGUGGAGGGCAGUGAAGGACCGUCGCUGGAUCCGGUGACCCCGAGUUGCUG
Molecule: long non-coding RNA, 12152 nt
Filed under: Hordeum vulgare
Lineage: Eukaryota; Viridiplantae; Streptophyta; Magnoliopsida; Poales; Poaceae
Description: long non-coding RNA (HVUL_LNC010031)
Source: RNAcentral